UGGGGAAUCUUGCGCAAUGGGCGAAAGCCUGACGCAGCGACGCCGCGUGAGCGAUGAAGGCCCUCGGGUUGUAAAGCUCUGUGGAGGGGGACGAAUAAGGGCCGGUGAAUAAGCGGCCCGAUGACGGUACCCCUUUAGCAAGCACCGGCUAACUCUGUGCCAGCAGCCGCGGUAAGACAGAGGGUGCAAACGUUGUUCGGAAUUACUGGGCGUAAAGCGCGUGUAGGCGGCGAGGCAAGUCGGAUGUGAAAGCCCUGGGCUUAACCUAGGAAGUGCAUUCGAAACUGCCUGGCUGGAGUUCUGGAGAGGAAGGCGGAAUUCUCGGUGUAGAGGUGAAAUUCGUAGAUAUCGAGAGGAACACCGGUGGCGAAGGCGGCCUUCUGGACAGCAACUGACGCUGAGACGCGAAAGCGUGGGGAGCAAACAG
This 427-nucleotide ribosomal RNA is filed under the name uncultured bacterium. RNAcentral describes it as "bacterial SSU rRNA". It matches the Rfam family "Bacterial small subunit ribosomal RNA", at positions 355 to 775 of the family's 1533-position model. The record is from RNAcentral.